Non-coding RNA from Phrynosoma platyrhinos (Desert horned lizard), 71 nucleotides. The record is from the annotation of a GenBank genome assembly. NCBI's taxonomy places the organism in Eukaryota, Metazoa, Chordata, Lepidosauria, Squamata, Phrynosomatidae.
GCCAGCAUGGCAUAGUGGUUUGAGUGUUAGACUAGGACUCUGGAGAUAAGGGUUUGAAUCCUAGCUUGGCC